CGUGCGGUUUUUAUUAUUAUUAAUUCUUUUUUUUUCCUUUUUUUUUUUUUUUUUAUAAGAAAGUAAAGAAGCCGUGAUGCCGAACAAGGCCAAGGCCGGUCGAACCGGUUCUCUAUUCAGUUAUUUGUUUUUUUUUUUUUUUUAUUCCACGUUCGUUGCCGUUGUCUUUCACCAGUGUAAUAAUAAUAAUAACGUACUUACUAUCUAUAAAUACUAAUAAUAUAUAUUUAAGCGCGUUUGUAUAAAUAUACAUUUUACGCGUGUACACGCGAAUACAUAAUGUAAUAAAAUAAUACAUAAAUCAUUUUCGUUGUGCGGAUAAUAACGAAAAAAGUGUUAUUAUUAUUAUUAUUUAAUUUUUCGAAAAAAAAAAAAAAAAAACAGUUUCGUGCGAACGUGUCGUCUCUCUCUCACUCCCUCCUCUCUCAAUCUCUCUCUCUCUCUCUCUCCGGUUGCCAAUUAAUGCCCGCGCACCCAACACUCGAGUCGGUCGUUGAACUCGACGCGGUCGCGCGGGAG
Molecule: non-coding RNA, 519 nt
Organism: Cinara cedri
Lineage: Eukaryota; Metazoa; Arthropoda; Insecta; Hemiptera; Aphididae
Source: the annotation of a GenBank genome assembly